Molecule: long non-coding RNA, 1146 nt
Organism: Triticum dicoccoides
Lineage: Eukaryota; Viridiplantae; Streptophyta; Magnoliopsida; Poales; Poaceae
Exons: 5
Source: RefSeq, a predicted model, not a curated record
UCCCUUUUCCUCUUUCUGCCAUAGUGAUAAGGUUCGUCAGCACAAAAUCGGCCUCCGGUGGAGGGCAAGCUGCUCGACGGCGAUAACUCGCGCGACCGCGACGGCGAGUGGAGGAUCAGCUGAUUGGUGGCGAUAAAUCGCGCGACCAAGACGGGGGAGAGCGACGCAGUGCGGCGAGGAAUUUCAGUCGCUAUUGCGUCGAUAGCUCGUGCGACCGCGGCGGGGAAGAGACACGUCCGCGCGACGAGGGAGCCUAGCCGCUCGCUGCUGACAGCUCGCGCGACUGCGGCCUGUGCAGCAGAGGCGCAUCCGCACGACUACAGAGCUAAGUCGCUAGCUGAAGGCUUACGUCCAACACAACAAUGGAUGCAACCUGUUCGUGGGACUGUCGGAGACUUAGAAGUUCAAUUCAACAAAGCUGCCAACAUCUUUCCGUGCAAACUUUACAGAAUUGGUGAAAUUUGCACUCCAUCUUCCAAUAUCCGAAGUGGUCAAGUUUAAUUAAUUAGAGCUGGGUAAAGAAGGUGAGCCCGACCAAGCGGAGCUAGCCAGAUAUGGAGUUCUCAUUGCCGCCAUCCUCCGUUGCCCAUCAGGCCUGGCCUUUCAUAGGUGUGUACUCCAGAUCAUGUCGCGUCGCUGUUCUGCAGGGCCGGCCGUCCGGCUCAGGCCGGCCGGCCCUCUCCGGCUCUUCCACUCUCUCUCGGUCUCUCCCCUCCCCUCCAGCCGUCUCUCUCGGCCUCUCCCUCCCCUGCAGCAGCAGCAGCAGGGCGCUGGGCGGAGGAGAGACCGAGAGGGCCGGAGGCGGAAGGGAGAGUCGGAGCCCAAGGGCAGGGGAGGGAGAGCCCGAGAGAGCCGGCCGAAGGGAAGGGGAGGGACUGAGGGAGAGUGGAGGCGUGGGCAGCCGCCGGCGCGAAGAAGCCUCCUGCAGCGUGCCCUCUCCCCCUUCUAUGUCACUGGAUAAGAUAUAAGAAAGGAGCGCGGGGUUGAAUUCUAAAAAUUCAGGGGUUAAUGUAUAAAACCGAAUCGUUUUUUCAGAAUACCACUUAAAGAGGGACUGCGGGUUUAAUUUUACAAAACAUAAGGACUUUUUGUAAAAUGUGCAAUGACGGACGACCAGAAGCAUUAGCUGCUUUAUUAGUAGGGAAA